UUCGGUAGCUGCAGAUGCAGCAGGAUUCUGGAACAAGUUUGGGUGUCCAUGAAUUCCAAUUUGGUGAACUAAGGAUUCUCCAUACGUCAUUUCUGAGGAAGGUGCCUGAGUACACGUUCCUAGGCUACCAUCUAGAACGUGCACAGGGACAUGUCUUGGGAAGUUCUGAGCUGCUUGCAUCUCAUUUUUCGGCUGUGAACCAAAAUUUUCAGACUGGCUUGGUUCAUCAGUUUUCUCAGCUUGAACCAAUUUCUCAUGUGAAGGGUGAGAAUUCUCCAAGUUUGAGG
Molecule: long non-coding RNA, 287 nt
Filed under: Vitis vinifera (wine grape)
Lineage: Eukaryota; Viridiplantae; Streptophyta; Magnoliopsida; Vitales; Vitaceae
Description: long non-coding RNA (VVIN_LNC005200)
Source: RNAcentral